RNAcentral lists this ribosomal RNA (544 nucleotides) under uncultured bacterium. Its description in RNAcentral is "bacterial SSU rRNA". It matches the Rfam family "Bacterial small subunit ribosomal RNA", at positions 777 to 1319 of the family's 1533-position model. The record is from RNAcentral.
AAUAGAUACCCGGGUAGUCCACGCCGUAAACGAUGAGUGCUAAGUGUUAGGGGGUUUCCGCCCCUUAGUGCUGCAGCUAACGCAUUAAGCACUCCGCCUGGGGAGUACGGUCGCAAGACUGAAACUCAAAGGAAUUGACGGGGGCCCGCACAAGCGGUGGAGCAUGUGGUUUAAUUCGAAGCAACGCGAAGAACCUUACCAGGUCUUGACAUCCCGCUGACCGGCCUAGAGAUAGGCUUUUCCCUUCGGGGACAGCGGUGACAGGUGGUGCAUGGUUGUCGUCAGCUCGUGUCGUGAGAUGUUGGGUUAAGUCCCGCAACGAGCGCAACCCUUGAUCUUAGUUGCCAGCAUUCAGUUGGGCACUCUAAGGUGACUGCCGGUGAUAAACCGGAGGAAGGUGGGGAUGACGUCAAAUCAUCAUGCCCCUUAUGACCUGGGCUACACACGUGCUACAAUGGACGGUACAGAGGGUUGCAACCCCGCGAGGGUGAGCUAAUCCCAUAAAACCGUUCUCAGUUCGGAUUGUAGGCUGCAACUCGCCUAC